CAUAUCAAUAAGCGGAGGAAAAGAAACCAACAGGGAUUGCCCCAGUAACGGCGAGUGAAGCGGCAACAGCUCAAAUUUGAAAUCUGGCCCCCCCGCGGGCCCGAGUUGUAAUUUGCAGAGGAUGCUUUUGGCGCGGCGCCUUCCGAGUGCCCUGGAACGGGACGCCAUAGAGGGUGAGAGCCCCGUCUGGUCGGACGCCCAGCCUCUGUAAAGCUCCUUCGACGAGUCGAGUAGUUUGGGAAUGCUGCUCUAAACGGGAGGUAUAUGUCUUCUAAAGCUAAAUACUGGCCAGAGACCGAUAGCGCACAAGUAGAGUGAUCGAAAGAUGAAAAGCACUUUGAAAAGAGGGUUAAACAGUACGUGAAAUUGUUGAAAGGGAAGCGCUUGUGACCAGACUCGGGCGCGGCGAAUCACCCGGCGUUCUCGCCGGUGCACUUCGACGCGCCCGGGCCAGCAUCAGCUCGCCGCGGGGGACAAAGGCGCCGGGAACGUGGCUCCCCAGGGAGUGUUAUAGCCCGGCGCGCAACGCCCCGCGGCGGACUGAGGUUCGCGCGUCCGCAAGGAUGCUGGCGUAAUGGUCACCAGUGACCCGUCUUGAAACACGGACCAAGGAGUCGUCCUCGUAUGCGAGUGUUCGGGUGUCAAACCCCUACGCGCAAUGAAAGUGAACGCGGGUGAGAGCCUCGCGGCGCAUCAUCGACCGAUCCUGAUGUUCUCGGAUGGAUUUGAGUAGGAGCAUACGGGGCCGGACCCGAAAGAAGGUGAACUAUGCCUGUGUAGGGUGAAGCCAGAGGAAACUCUGGUGGAGGCUCGCAGCGGUUCUGACGUGCAAAUCGAUCGUCAAACAUGGGCAUGGGGGCGAAAGACUAAUCGAACCUUCUAGUAGCUGGUUUCCGCCGAAGUUUCCCUCAGGAUAGCAGUGUUGAUCUCAGUUUUAUGAGGUAAAGCGAAUGAUUAGGGACCCGGGGGCGCUCUUCAGCCUUCAUCCAUUCUCAAACUUUAAAUAUGUAAGAAGCCCUUGUUGCUUGGUUGAACGUGGGCAUUCGAAUGUAUCGACACUAGUGGGCCAUUUUUGGUAAGCAGAACUGGCGAUGCGGGAUGAACCGAACGCGAGGUUAAGGUGCCGGAGUGGACGCUCAUCAGACACCACAAAAGGCGUUAGUACAUCUUGACAGCAGGACGGUGGCCAUGGAAGUCGGAACCCGCCAAGGACUGUGUAACAACUCACCUGCCGAAUGUACUAGCCCUGAAAAUGGAUGGCGCUCAAGCGUCCCACCCAUACCUCGCCCUCAGGGUAGAAACGAUGCCCUGAGGAGUAGGCGGACGUGGGGGUCCGUGACGAAGCCCAGGGCGCGAGCCCGGGUCGAACGGCCUCUAGUGCAGAUCUUGGUGGUAGUAGCAAAUACUUCAAUGAGAACUUGAAGGACC
This 1428-nucleotide ribosomal RNA is filed under the name Ophiocordyceps sinensis. RNAcentral's name for it is "eukaryotic LSU rRNA". It matches the Rfam family "Eukaryotic large subunit ribosomal RNA", at positions 39 to 1492 of the family's 3401-position model. The record is from RNAcentral. Lineage: Eukaryota; Fungi; Ascomycota; Sordariomycetes; Hypocreales; Ophiocordycipitaceae.